This 4406-nucleotide unclassified non-coding RNA is filed under the name Bactrocera latifrons. Its description in RNAcentral is "dystrophin-like, transcript variant X2". Lineage: Eukaryota; Metazoa; Arthropoda; Insecta; Diptera; Tephritidae. The record is from RNAcentral.
CAUUCGCUUUCAGUGGCGUUCGGUUCGCUUCAGUCGCAAUUACUCCGAGGUAGGCCUAGUUCGUCGGUCGCAUUNGUUCUUGUUUUUGUCGUUGUUGUAGACGCGUGUGGCGUCAAUGUUAUUGCCGAGAAAAAAUUCAGCGUGCUAAAAUAGAACUGCAAGGGAAGUUUAAACUCAAACAAGUGCAAAAUUCUAUUAAAACAAAACAACAACUAAAGACUUAGAAGUAGAACAGUGUAAAGCAAAGUCGAACAAAAAAGUGCGGAGCGACAUAAUCGCCUGCACCACAGAGUGCGCGCACAGCACAAUAAUUAGAGAGCGGGCGCAGCCUGCGGCUCCUCUGAGCUCAUUAAAAAUUAAACAAAGCCGCAGCACGAGAACAAGAAAAACUUUUGAGUGAAAAAUAGCAAAUAGCAAAGCGUUCGGCGUAAAAAAUAAAUAAAAUUAAAGUGCGACGGCAGUUUAGGCCAAAGGCAAACAACACACACACACACACAACAAUACUAUGCGCCUAUUAAAAGUGCCACAAACGGCAGACAAUGCGGCUGGGGCUGGAGCGCAGCUGGCGCGUGACAUCAUUAUGGCGGGUCCAGCGGAACAGCAAGAGCCGCAGACACAACAGCACCCGUAUCACAACAUCAGCGCCAUGCAUAUCGUGGAUGUGCAACAACUGAAAAUGGCCAAAAGCAUUGCGGCCAACAACAAAAGCGGCGCAACAACAACAACGGCGAGCAACAGCAGUCGUCGACGCAAACAGAAUAAAACAAAACACGCGCAACAUUUGCAAAACGCCACUGCCAUUGUUGGGCAGGACAACAAUUACAAUCACAACACUAAUGAGCAGCAUGAAGACAACAAUACCAGCACCGGCUUGUUUGCAAAAUCAAGGUCGCUCGAACGUUAUACCAAGCCGCCGCAUGCCACAUUGCUGGCGCUGGAACAAGGCGCAGCGCUCACACCGAAUCUGAAUGUCUCACCACGCCGCCGUUUUCUCUCACCAUUCAAAUCGUUGAAGCGUCGCAGUCGUAGCAGCAGCAGUAGCGGUGGCGGCAGCAGUCGUUGUGACUCACGCGACGUCGCCGUAGCCGCUAUGCUGGCGCUGCAGCGCGAGCCAACGCAAGAGGUGCGCGUCGAGCAAUUCAGCACAGCGCAGAGCAUGUUGCAGCAACAUGUGGCUAAGCGCGCGCAACACUUGCACUCGGCGAGUUCGCAGAGUGGCGACAGCGGCACGGGCGGCACAGAACUCGAGAUGGAGUUGCAAGACUGCAGUCGCGCUUCUGCGGCGGCGAGUAGUCAGCUGAGUCUAAGUUUCUCGCAGCUGAGCAGCGGCGCUGACGGUGACGGCGAAGUGGACGAUGACAGCAGCAGCGACGCGCCGCGAGUUGAGGUUGCUGUGCAACGCGCUGUGUCAACGCCGUUGCAAUCGCCCCCUGGUAGUCGAAGCGGCGCGUCUGCCGGCGAAAGCAUAAAUAUUGUUGAAACGAAAGCGCUGUGCGUUGACGCUGCGCCGUCUCAAGUGUUGGCGGAGAAACAAAUGGUCGGUGCUGUUGUUGACGCCGACGUUGACGUUGAUGAGGCGCACAAUUUCGCCGUGACUGUGGACGAUUUGGAUGCUUCGUUUGCCGAGGAGUCACUCUAUACGAUCGGCAAUAUAACGCUCGUCGAUGACACAUACUCAAAUUAUGAUCCGAAGAAUGACGCCGAGCGUAUGUUCCUGCAGGUGGUUGGCAUAUUGCGCGAUGAGAACGAGAAAAUGCGUCAAUUCCAAAAGACGCUGGAGGAUUUGAGUUCACGCGUCGCCUCGGCCGAAGCCACGAAAGUAUCAUGGUUGCCACCCGUCUCCGCACAGGAGGCCACCGAGCAAAUGCAACAUUUGCAACGUUUGCGCGACAAAAUGACCACCGCCGGUGCGCUGUUGGAUGAUUGCAACGAGCAGCAGGCAUUCUUCACCGCCAAUCAGGUGUUGGUGCCCGCCAUGUGCCUAUCACGGCUGGAAGAUUUGAACACAAGAAUGAAACUUCUACAAAUUGCAAUGGAUGAACGGCAAAAGAUACUUUGCAACGCUGGUGCUAAUCAAGCUUUGGAAAAUGGCGAAGAUGGACGUACAACAUCGAAUAGUGGCACAAUUGGGCCAUUACCUAACCUAGGUCAAAGCGUAAAGCCACCCUGGGAACGCGCAACGACAGCAGCCAAUGUGCCUUACUACAUUGAUCACGAGCGCGAAACCACUCACUGGGAUCAUCCAGAAAUGAUUGAAUUGAUGAAAAGUUUGGCUGACCUUAAUGAAAUCCGUUUCUCCGCCUAUCGCACAGCAAUGAAAUUACGUGCCGUGCAAAAGCGUUUGGCGCUGGAUCGCAUUCCCAUGUCCACUGCCAUCGAAUCGUUCGAUCGUCAUGCGUUGCGCGCACAAAACGACAAACUCAUCGAUAUACCCGACAUGACGACCGUCUUGCAUUCGCUCUAUGUGACAAUCGAUAAAAUUGACUUGACUUUAAUGUUGGAUUUGGCCAUAAACUGGAUACUAAAUGUUUACGACUCGCAGCGCACCGGACAGAUACGUGUGCUGAGCUUUAAGGUUGGCUUGAUUUUGCUCUGCAAGGGUCAUCUCGAGGAGAAAUAUCGCUACUUAUUCCGUUUGAUUGCCGACCCGGAGCGCAAAGUCGACCAAAGAAAAUUGGGCUUGCUGCUGCAUGACUGCAUACAGGUUCCACGCCAGCUGGGCGAAGUGGCCGCUUUCGGUGGUUCCAAUAUCGAGCCUUCGGUGCGCUCAUGCCUCGAACGCGCUGGCAUCUCGCAGGAAGCCAUUGACGCCAAUCAGGAAAUUGCCAUUGAACAAUCACACUUCCUCGGCUGGUUGCAACACGAGCCGCAGAGUUUAGUAUGGAUGCCGGUGUUGCAUCGUCUAGCGGCUGCCGAAACGGCCAAACAUCAGGCAAAAUGUAACAUUUGUAAGGAGUAUCCGAUAAUUGGAUUCCGUUAUCGCUGCCUCAAGUGCUUCAAUUUCGAUAUGUGCCAAAAGUGUUUCUUCUUCGGACGUAACGCCAAAAAUCACAAAUUGAGUCAUCCAAUGCACGAGUAUUGCACAACGACCACCUCAACAGAAGACGUUCGCGAUUUCACACGCGCUUUGAAGAACAAAUUCAAGAGUCGCAAAUACUUCAAAAAGCAUCCACGUGUCGGCUAUUUGCCGGUACAAAGCGUGCUCGAGGGUGAUGCAUUAGAGAGUCCCGCACCAAGCCCACAACACACCACACACACGCUGCAAAAUGAUAUGCACUCACGGCUCGAAAUGUACGCUUCCCGUUUGGCGCAAGUUGAAUAUUGUACCGGUUCAAAUUCAACGCCCGACAGCGACGACGAACAUCAACUGAUCGCCCAGUACUGUCAGGCAUUGCCCACAAAUAACGGUAGCGGCCCCAAAUCGCCAGUUCAAGUAAUGGCAGCCAUGGAUGCAGAGCAACGUGAAGAGCUGGAAGCGAUUAUACGCGACCUGGAGGAGGAGAACGCCAAUUUACAAGCGGAAUAUCAGCAGUUGUGCAGCAAACAAAAUAGCACCACACCCGACGCGGAUGGUGGCAUGCAGCACUCAACGUCCGCCAUGGGGGGCCUGGCUGCUGGAGCUAAUGCCGGAGGUCAAGGUGAACAUGGGCAGGAUAUGAUUGCCGAGGCGAAGCUGCUACGCCAACAUAAGGGUCGACUUGAGGCACGUAUGCAAAUACUGGAAGAUCACAAUCGCCAACUGGAAGCACAAUUGCAACGACUGCGCCAAUUGUUAGACGAGCCGAAUAGUGGCGCUGUGAGUGCCGCCGGCUCUGCGCUGAAUUCCAAGCCGAACACGUUGCAAACACGCUCCGUGACUGCAUCUCAGCUGAAUACCGACUCGCCGGCGAAAAUGAAUCAACAAAAUGGCCAUUAUGAGCAAAGCACAAAGGGCAUGAUGCUACCCGGCAUGGGCAUGGUCAAUGUGGGCAAUGCCGCUACGGCUGGUGCUGGUGGCGCUGGGGAACAUAUGGGCGUUGGCAAACAUCCGCUCGGCCCUGGGCUUGUGGCGCUACAGCAACGCGCUGCAAUGAAUGCUGCUGGCGGUGGCGGCGGUGGCAUGGGUAUGGUUGGCGGUAUGGGUCACCUGGGUGGCAUUGCAGGCGCAACAGGCAACGGAGGCAUCGAUAUGGGUGGCGUUUGCCAUGCGCCCGGUCAAGGCUACAUGCUGGACGACGGACGCCCACCGCCGCCACCACACUCGAGUCUACUACACACUAUGCCUGAUCACGCGUAAAUAGCUCAUAACUAAGAUCAAGGAAAUUUUAGAACAAAUUGUUGAUUUAAACGCCGCUGAAAUAGGACGCGCCGUAGAGGAGCUGGUUACAGUCAUAACCGAGGAGAUGAUCGAACAAACGCAGAGUCAA